AAAUUGUCCAUGUAUUCUUAAAACUUCGGGACGUAUAAGCGCCACCUCAGAAGUAUCAUUGGAUCGUUUAUUAGUGCAUUACAAAAAAAGCGGUGGCACCCAUGAUUAUAAAUGGCAGUGUACUCAUGAAGUCCAUUUAAGCACAAAUAUGGUGCUUGAAUUGUUUCCCAUAUCCCUAUUUGGUUUUGUCUGUACAUGUAUGUCACAAGAUCAACCCUUUCAGUGCUGGAACCGAAUUUUGGCGUUUCAUCAGGAUCGCAACUGUUUGCUAUUAUGAUGAUAGUUUUUAACAAAAAAUCGAAGAAAAUGACAGUUUUAAAAAUUAUGCAGACGGUAUUUUAGCAGACGACAAAAAUCCCAGCAUGCAAAUGCUAAAUGAAUCCAUAACAGUAAAUGAAUCCAUAACAGUAAAUGAAUCCAUAACAGUAUUCUCAUUUUGAUAAGCUUUGAUAGAUUUGAUUGCAGUGCAAAACCUAAUAUAUUUAUCAAUAUAAUUUUAAUUUAUUCAUGCUUGAAGGUUUGCUACUAAAUGUCGGUUAAAUAGUAAGGAUCUAACAUGAGUUGUGACAUUUCUUACAAUCUUUUAUGAAACAAGUUUAGGAAUUAAUUUUAAAAAGAAACAUUCUUUAUAAAUGUCUUAUACAAAACAUGUUGAUAAAUACAAGUAUAAUACUUACACCACACACCUAUUUAAAGUUUGCCAAGUAUAUCUGCAUGUGAUUUGGUGAAGUAAAAUAAGCCAAUAAGAAUGCUAUGAAAAAAUUAUGUUGACAAAUAUUUUGAAACUUACACCAGUAAAGAAGCUUGAAGUGUCAUAUGCAUUGUGCAAUGAUGUGUACUUUUAGCUGUUUUACAGAUGUGGUCCAUGUUGCCCUGCAUUAUCCCUUUCAGUGCGGGAACCGAAUUUUGAAGGCCUUUGCAAACAGUUUGGAUCCAGAUGAGACGCCACAGAACAUGGUGUCUCAUCAGGAUCCAAACUGUUUGCUAUUCUGAUAGUAUUCUGUGAAAAAAAUCGAAGAAAAUGCUAAUUUUAGAAAUUCAGCAGACGACAUUUUAGCAGACGACAAAUUUCCCAGCAUGCAAAGGGUUAAUACCAGAAUGUGUCAUCAUAAGCUCAUAAAUUGCACAAAACCUUAACAUUAAUACAAAUAUGUUGCUAAUUAUAUGUUGGGAAAUAGCUACACAUACACAACAUUUACUUUGUGUUGCUUUUUAUCUUCUUCUACAAAGAACACAUUUUGGGUCAUCGUUUGUUUUAUACCUUUAUACUAAUAUAUUUAAUGAAUUCACAAUUGAACUUAUGGUAAAAAAGUCACGGUGCAAAUUUAAAGGCUGUAUGCAUUACAGGCAUAUACAUCAGCAUGAAUUAAAGUUUCAUGUUCCUUCAUUUAGUUUUCGUAUGGUCGAAAAUUUCUGUUAAGUAGCGACUUUAUUGUUUUUAUGAUUAAAUUUCUUCAUGUGGUCAUCAGUCUAAGUGUUGGGGGUUUCAGUUCAGUCUGAGUGUUGGGGGUUUCAGUUCAGUCUAAGUGUUGGGGGUUUCAGUUCAGUCUAAGUGUUGGGGGUUUCAGUUCAGUCUAAGUGUUGGGGGUUUCAGUUCAGUCUGAGUGUUGGGGGUUUCAGUUCAGUCUAAGUGUUGGGGGUUUCAGUUCAGUCUCAGUGUUGGGGGUUUCAGUUCAGUCUAAGUGUUGGGGGUUUCAGUUCUGUCUAAGUGUUGGAGGUUUCAGUUCAGUCUAAGUGUUGGGGGUUUCAGUUCAGUCUAAGUGUUGGGGGUUUCAGUUCAGUCUAAGUGUUGGAGGUUUCAGUUCAGUCUCAGUGUUGGGGGUUUCAGUUCAGUCUAAGUGUUAGAGGUUUCAGUUCAGUCUAAGUGUUGGGGGUUUCAGUUCAGUCUAAGUGUUGGAGGUUUCAGUUCAGUCUAAGUGUUGGGGGUUUCAGUUCAGUCUAAGUGUUGGAGGUUUCAGUUCAGUCUAAGUGUUGGGGGUUUCAGUUCAGUCUAAGUGUUGGAGGUUUCAGUUCAGUCUAAGUGUUGGGGGUUUCAGUUCAGUCUAAGUGUUGGAGGUUUCAGUUCAGUCUCAGUGUUGGGGGUUUCAGUUCAGUCUAAGUGUUGGAGGUUUCAGUUCAGUCUCAGUGUUGGGGGUUUCAGUUCAGUCUAAGUGUUGGAGGUUUCAGUUCAGUCUAAGUGUUGGGGGUUUCAGUUCAGUCUGAGUGUUAGAGGUUUCAGUUCAGUCUCAGUGUUGGGGGUUUCAGUUCAGUCUCAGUGUUGGAGGUUUCAGUUCAGUCUAAGUGUUGGGGGUUUCAGUUCAGUCUGAGUGUUAGAGGUUUCAGUUCAGUCUAAGUGUUGGGGGGUUUCAGUUCAGUCUGAGUGUUAGAGGUUUCAGUUCAGUCUAAGUGUUGGAGGUUUCAGUUCAGUCUCAGUGUUGGGGGUUUCAGUUCAGUCUAAGUGUUGGAGGUUUCAGUUCAGUCUAAGUGUUGGGGGUUUCAGUUCAGUCUGAGUGUUAGAGGUUUCAGUUCAGUCUAAGUGUUGGAGGUUUCAGUUCAGUCUCAGUGUUGGGGGUUUCAGUUCAGUCUAAGUGUUAGAGGUUUCAGUUCAGUCUAAGUGUUGGGGGUUUCAGUUCAGUCUAAGUGUUGGAGGUUUCAGUUCAGUCUAAGUGUUGGGGGUUUCAGUUCAGUCUAAGUGUUGGGGGUUUCAGUUCAGUCUCAGUGUUGGGGGUUUCAGUUCAGUCUAAGUGUUGGGGGUUUCAGUUCUGUCUAAGUGUUGGAGGUUUCAGUUCAGUCUAAGUGUUGGGGGUUUCAGUUCAGUCUAAGUGUUAGAGGUUUCAGUUCAGUCUAAGUGUUGGGGGUUUCAGUUCAGUCUAAGUGUUGGGGGUUUCAGUUCAGUCUGAGUGUUGGGGGUUUCAGUUCAGUCUGAGUGUUGGGGGUUUCAGUUCAGUCUAAGUGUUGGGGGUUUCAGUUCAGUCUAAGUGUUGGGGGUUUCAGUUCAGUCUGAGUGUUAGAGGUUUCAGUUCAGUCUGAGUGUUGGGGGUUUCAGUUCAUUGUGUUGGGGGUUUCAGUUCAUUGUGUUGGGGGUUUCAGUUGAUUGUGUAUUAUUUUGAAAGGUGUUGAUACUAAAAACAUAGUGGUUGUUUUUUUUCUUCUUCUAGUUUUCUCUCCGUGAUUGAUUUCCUAUUCUUUAAAUUUGUGUAUUUAUUUUCUUUACAAUUAUAGAUAUGAAUCAUUCACAUUUCUUCCCUUUGAUAUGGCAAGUAUCGUUAUCCGUUGUCUCUUAACUUUUGUAUUUGAUAUUUGAUUCCUGGGCAGCAAAAUUUCAAUACUGUGUCAACUGUGUGUGUUUUUGUUUGUUUACUACUUAUAGUGAACUAGAAAAUUUCUAUAAUGAUAUCCUUCUAUGGUCAAUUAUUUUGGAUAUCCCUUUCUUACGCACAAUUUGAGUUGUGUUUUGACUUAUUAAUAAAAAAUAAAAAUCGCGCAAUAUUAUGAGUAUUCAGUGUCCUUGAGAUGUUUGUGUCUUUUUAAUUCUUUUUGGCCCAUAAAUGGGGUUGAUUGAGGGAACAGAAAUUUGGAUAUGUUAAUAAUGUUUGGGAGGGAAAGGAAUCUGGGAUUUGCCAAUUAAUAACAAUUCUUUAGUUUUAUCCACAGAACCAAGUAAUUUACCAAGUAUUAUACCUUAUAAAAAAAAAUAGUUCUUUUUUUCAAUUUCUCAAUCAAUAGGUAAUUUGAUUUAUUACAUUAUCAAUCCAAAUUUAUCAAAUUUUUUUCAUAGUGUAAUUUCAUCACUAUUUUGGUAAUUUUUUUUUUAUUAUCAUAUAAAGGCAACUUAUUUGUUAAUCUGUAACUCAAUACUGAGGUAGGAUCAGUUAAUCUGUAACUCAAUACUGAAGUAGGAUCAGUUAUUUGUUAAUCUGUAACUCAAUACUGAGGAAGGAUCAGUUAAUCUGUAACUCAAUACUGAAGUAGGAUCAGUUAUUUGUUAAUCUGUAACUCAAUACUGAAGUAGGAUCAGUUAUUUGUUAAUCUGUUACUCAAUACGGAGGAAGGAUCAGUUAAUCUGUAACUCAAUACUGAAGUAGGAUCAGUUAAUCUGUAACUCAAUACUGAAGUAGGAUCAGUUAUUUGUUAAUCUGUAACUCAAUACUGAGGAAGGAUCAGUUAAUCUGUAACUCAAUACUGAAGUAGGAUCAGUUAUUUGUUAAUCUGUACCUCAAUACUGAAGUAGGAUCAGUUAUUUGUUAAUCUGUUACUCAAUACUGAGGAAGGAUCAGUUAAUCUGUAACUCAAUACUGAGGAAGGAUCAGUUAAUCUGUAACUCAAUACUGAGGAAGGAUCAGUUAAUCUGUAACUCAAUACUGAGGAAGGAUCAGUUAAUCUGUAACUCAAUACUGAAGUAGGAUCAGUUAUUUGUUAAUCUGUUACUCAAUACUGAGGAAGGAUCAGUUAAUCUGUAACUCAAUACUGAAGUAGGAUCAGUUAUUUGUUAAUCUGUUACUCAAUACUGAGGAAGGAUCAGUUAAUCUGUAACUCAAUACUGAGAUAGGAUCAGUUAUUUGUUAAUCUCUACCUCAAUACUGAGGUAGGAUCAGUUAUUUAAGAUAUUUCACAUUGGUGUAGGCUUAUAACAACAAGCUUUUAUUUCAUUUGUUAAUUUCUUAUACACUACUUAUUAUCUGAUGUUUUGAAUAUGAUAAGAAUAUUUAGUUUUUAUGCCCCCGGUAGGAUGGCAUAUAGUGAUCGCACUGUCCGUCUGUCUGUCUGAAAUUCCAUCACACUUUGCAUUUAGGUUUUGCGUUUAGGUUUUGCGUGAAGGUUUCGAUUUCUUUCUUUUCUUUCUUUUUUUUUUCAAAGCAGCGCAGUAGGGGGCAUUGUGUUUCUGACAAAAACGUCUCUUGUUCAAAUAAUUUUGGUAUUCAAUAAUUUUAUUAAUGUGAACAUUUAAACUUAUUGUUUCAUAAUUGUAAAUUCAGUGUGUGGUGUGGAGGCUGAGUAUAUUUAUUUAUAAUAUUGUUAAGAAACUAUGUCAAAUCUAAACCUUUUGUGAUUUUGUUUGAAAAUGUUGGAAAUGAUAACUCUGUUAAUAAUUGGGUGGCUCUGGUGUGUUGGGUAUAGUUUAGGUUUUAUGUACAAAUUUAGAAGCUGAGUAUAUUUAUUCAUAAUAUUGUUAAGAAACUAUGUCAAAUGUUAACUUUUUGUGAUUUUGUUUGGAAAUGUUGGAAAUGAUAAGAAUAUUUAUUUUUUCAAAGCAUUUUGGUAUUCAAUCACUAAGUAACUCUGUUAAUAAUUUGGUGGCUCUGGUGUCUUGGGUAUAGCUCAGGUUUUAUGUACAAAUUUAGAAGCUGAGUAUAUUUAUUCAUAAUAUUGUUAAGAAACUAUGUCAAAUGUAAACUUUUUGUGAUUUUGCUUGGGAAUGUAAGAAAUGAUAAGAAUAUUUAGUUUUUCAAAACAUUUUGGUUUUCAAUCAUUUAAGUAACUCUGUUAAUAAUUUGGUGGCUCUGGUUUGUUGGGUAUAGUUUAUGUUUUAUGUACCAAUUUAUUUAUGAAACUAUGUGGAAAUUGAGAAUGAAGUUGCAUUUGUCCCAAUUUCUGGAUUGAACGGAGACAACAUGAUUGAAUCAACAGAUAAGAUGCCCUGUUACAAGGGAUGGGCCGUUGAGAGGAAGGAAGGCAAUGUGUCUUGAAAGACCCUGUUUGAGGCUUUCGCCUUAACCAUACUAGACGCCCCUGCUCUGCCACUCCAGGACGCCUACAAAAUUGGAGGUAUUGUAACAGUGCCAAGUGGGGAAUGGUAUCCUCAAGCCCGGCAUGGUGGUCACAUUCUCCCCUGCCAACAUCACCACUGAUGUUGGAUUCAAUGUCAACAAUAUCUCUGUCAAGGAAAUCAGAACAGGAAACGUCACUGGCGACUCCAAGAACGUAUUUUUUGCUUACCAAACACUUUUUGUAUAUAAAUUGUUACAGCAUUUUUUGUUAUGUCUUUCAUGUAAAUAUAUUUUGCUUGUCUUGUGAUGUAGAUGUCAGAGAUACCAUGGUAAGAAAUCUUGUUGGCCUGAACCACCAUAGAGAUUUCUUCCAUGGUAUCUCUGACAUUUACAUUGCAGACAUUUUUUGUUAUGUGUAAAGUCAGUUUGUAUUUUGUUUGUCUUGUGAUGUAAAUGUCAGAGAUACCAUGGUAAGAAAUCUUGUUGGCCUGAACCACCAUAGAGAUUUCUUUCAUGGUAUCUCUGACAUUUACAUUGCAGACAUUUUUUGUUAUGUGUAAAGUCAGUUUGUAUUUUGUUUGUCUUGUGAUGUAGAUGUCAGAGAUACCAUGGUAAGAAAUCUUGUUGGCCUGACCAACCAUAGAGAUUUCUUCCAUGAUAUCUCUGACAUUUACAUUGCAGACAUUUUUUGUUAUGUGUUAAGUCAGUUUGUAUUUUGCUUGUCUUGUGAUGUAGAUGUCAGAGAUACCAUGGUAAGAAAUCUUGUUGGCCUGAACCACCAUAGAGAUUUCUUUCAUGAUAUCUCUGACAUUUACAUCGCAGACUUUAUAACUUACUGACUAUAAAACAUUUGUCAAAAGCUUAACUCUUUUUUUAUAUCUUUAAACUUUAACACCAACAACGAAUUGACUCAUUUAUUUUUUUUUGGCAAAUUAGACAUCUCCCAUUAUUCAAAUCAUCAUGUAGAAAAAAGUACCUGUUUUUUUUUGUUUUUUGUUUAAUUAAGCUGUGGGUUUUUUCAAGUUGUAAUUUU
Long non-coding RNA from Dreissena polymorpha, 6720 nucleotides. RefSeq lists it as uncharacterized. The transcript has 6 exons. The record is from RefSeq and is a predicted model, not a curated record. NCBI's taxonomy places the organism in Eukaryota, Metazoa, Mollusca, Bivalvia, Myida, Dreissenidae.